GUGGGGAAUAUUGGACAAUGGGGGGAACCCUGAUCCAGCCAUGCCGCGUGUGUGAAGAAGGCCUUUUGGUUGUAAAGCACUUUAAGUGGGGAGGAGGCUUACCUGGUUAAUACCUGGGCUAAGUGGACGUUACCCACAGAAUAAGCACCGGCUAACUCUGUGCCAGCAGCCGCGGUAAUACAGAGGGUGCAAGCGUUAAUAGGAUUUACUGGGCGUAAAGCGCGCGUAGGUGGUUAAUUAAGUCAAAUGUGAAAUCCCCGAGCUUAACUUGGGAAUUGCAUGCGAUACUGGUUGGCUAGAGUAUGGGAGAGGAUGGUAGAAUUCCAGGUGUAGCGGUGAAAUGCGUAGAGAUCUGGAGGAAUACCGAUGGCGAAGGCAGCCAUCUGGACUAAUACUGACACUGAGGUGCGAAAGCAUGGGGAGCAAACAGGAUUAGAUACCCCGGUAGUCC
This 451-nucleotide ribosomal RNA is filed under the name uncultured bacterium. RNAcentral's name for it is "partial 16S ribosomal RNA". It matches the Rfam family "Bacterial small subunit ribosomal RNA", at positions 354 to 796 of the family's 1533-position model. The record is from RNAcentral.